Molecule: ribosomal RNA, 388 nt
Filed under: Theileria annulata
Lineage: Eukaryota; Apicomplexa; Aconoidasida; Piroplasmida; Theileriidae
Description: SSU rRNA
Rfam family: Eukaryotic small subunit ribosomal RNA
Source: RNAcentral
GCUAGUCUGUAUUGGAUGAUGGGAAUUUAAACCUCUUCCAGAGUAUCAAUUGGAGGGCAAGUCUGGUGCCAGCAGCCGCGGUAAUUCCAGCUCCAAUAGCGUAUAUUAAAAUUGUUGCAGUUAAAAAGCUCGUAGUUGAAUUUCUGCUGCAUUGCUUGUGUCCCUCUGGGGUCUGUGCAUGUGGCUUUUUUCGGACGGAGUUUCUUUGUCUGAAUGUUUACUUUGAGAAAAUUAGAGUGCUCAAAGCAGGCUUUCGCCUUGAAUAGUUUAGCAUGGAAUAAUAAAGUAGGACUUUGGUUCUAUUUUGUUGGUUUUAGGUACCAAAGUAAUGGUUAAUAGGAACAGUUGGGGGCAUUCGUAUUUAACUGUCAUAGGUGAAAUUCUUAGA